RNAcentral lists this ribosomal RNA (465 nucleotides) under uncultured bacterium. RNAcentral's name for it is "partial 16S ribosomal RNA". It matches the Rfam family "Bacterial small subunit ribosomal RNA", at positions 28 to 507 of the family's 1533-position model. The record is from RNAcentral.
GACGAACGCUGGCGGCGUGCUUAACACAUGCAAGUCGAACGGAAAGGCCCUGCUUGCAGGGUACUCGCGUGGGGAACGGGGGAGUAAAACGCGGGUGUAACGCCCCGCACUUCGGGGUAUGCCUGGGGAACUGGGGCUAUAACCGGGGAGAAGCCAUCUUUAGGCAGGUGGGUGGAUAGUUUUUUCGGUGUGGGGUGGGCUCGCGGGCUAUCUGCUUGCUGGUGGGGGAAUGGCUUACCAAGGCGGCGUCGGGGAGCCGGCCUGGGUGGGUGGACGGCCACAUUGGGGCUGAGGUACGGCCCAGACUCCUAAGGGGGGCAGCAGUGGGGAAUAUUGCACAAUGGGCGCAAGCCUGAUGCAGCGACGCCGCGUGGGGGAUGACGGCCUUCGGGUUGGAAACUCCUUUCGCUAGGUACGAAGCUUUUUGUGACGGUACCUAGUAAAGAAGCACCGGCUAACUACGUG